Molecule: long non-coding RNA, 1145 nt
Organism: Macrobrachium nipponense
Lineage: Eukaryota; Metazoa; Arthropoda; Malacostraca; Decapoda; Palaemonidae
Exons: 4
Source: RefSeq, a predicted model, not a curated record
GUCCGAGUCUUUUACAAGUGGCUGUAGAUGAGUAAAGAACAAAUGUGUGUUGGGGAAUUUUGUUACGUCUGAAGAUAAACCCUGUUCCUCAGUAUCGAGGUGCAUGGUGCCACUUGGUAACGAGAGCACCGCUCCAUUUGAAGUUUGGUAGAACUUCGGAUAACUGUGUAACAGUUCGUCGUUACUUAAGAUUUUCCAAAAGGGUCUCAUCGUCGUUGAUGAUCAUACAAGUUAAUUGAUCAUCUGUCUCAACCACUUUCACGAAAGCAAAAGGGAUUUACUGAUGAAGGUAUCUGUGAAUUAGAGCAUCGUCAUCCGUCAUGAUGGACCUAUACAACUGGAUGAUUGCUGUUCAUGCUAUUCUGUGAUGUAUUGGAUGCAGACUUGCCUCAUUCUUCAAUAUUUCUUGCCUGACGCUUUUAGAUACCCGUAUUAUGCUAAAUGCAGCCGUGUUCUGGAUGACUUCUAGAAUACCAAUAUAGUUCUUCAGUGGCAGCAACAUGCUACCACUGUAGUCAAUUAUUGAUUUUAUAGAUGUAUAAAGUCAUUUUAUCGUAGGUACACUUGCACCAUCAGAGCCACAUGCAACUUUUCAAAGAAGGCGUUUGCGCGAACGUUUUAGUCUUUUCAGGUGAUAUGACUAAUCCUAUGCUGUUACAUAACGAUGUGUAAGCCUUAAUUGCCUUUUUUAUUUCCUUAUCUGUGCUGGCCUGUACUACAUGCCGUCUGCAUUAUAUGGCUAUUAUGAUUCUUGGUAUAUCAAUUUUUCCUAGUUCAUUCAUUAGAAUAUUAAAGAAUAGGUGAUAAAACACCACCUUCAGGGAUACCCAAUUCCAUUUUUCCCAACUUGAUUGUACACCUUCAAAGUAAACACAACCUAAGUCUGUCUGCUAGGUAAUCCAAUAUGAGCUGCAGGAGUCUUCCUUCUAUCAUUUCUGCCAACUCAUUCAUAAUAAUUAUAUGGCUAGCCCUAUCAAGGGACCCCUUUAUAUCUAUGAACACUAUUUGAACCCUAAUGCUACACUUUCUUUAUGAAUAGUGACUUAUGCUCCUCCCAGUUAUGUAGCCAUAUAAAUUCUUUUAAAGCUUUUUCCUAAUAAAGAAAUGAUGCCUAUUAAUAAAAUUCUUUCAAAUACCUUGCACAG